AUUGCUUACAUAUGAAUUGCAGUGAAUUUUUACAUUACAAAAAACUCAAUUCAUUACAUUUAGUACAUAUAUUGGCACAAAUAAAACAAAUUAGUCCCCCCCUUUUCAGACAGGCAGAAGAAAAAUAUUGUGAGGAAGUCAACUGCUGGUAAAGUACAGAAUUAAGAUUCUUAAAGAAAAUGUAUUCAGAAGUAUUAAGGAAGAUACAAAAAUAUAGCAGUACAGUGAACUUCAAUACAUCCUAACGUUUAGUACCCAAACCAGCUAUACUAAAAUAGCACGCAUACCUAUGACCUGCACCAUCUCCUGCCAUCUCCUGGAAGGGAUAGCAAGCCAAGGACACGAAUCCAUAUUUCUUACGAAUCGUUAAUGAGACCAGUUCAGUAAUCUAGCAUAUACAGAAGUCUACUGUGAUUUAAAAACAACUACAACAAGAAAAUUCCCCCCCAAAC
Molecule: long non-coding RNA, 452 nt
Filed under: Bos taurus (domestic cattle)
Lineage: Eukaryota; Metazoa; Chordata; Mammalia; Artiodactyla; Bovidae
Description: long non-coding RNA NONBTAT005947
Source: RNAcentral